AACGUAGGAGACAAACGUUAUCCGGAUUUACUGGGCGUAAAGGGCGUGCAGGCGGUCUGUUAAGUCUGGCGUGAAAGCUCUCGGCUAAACCGGGAGAGGUCGUUGGAUACUGACGGACUAGAGGACGGUAGAGGCGUGUGGAAUUCCGGGUGUAGUGGUGAAAUGCGUAGAGAUCCGGAGGAACACCAGUGGCGAAGGCGACACGCUGGGCCGUACCUGACGCUAAGACGCGACAGCAUGGGGAGCGAACGGG
This 253-nucleotide ribosomal RNA is filed under the name uncultured bacterium. RNAcentral describes it as "partial 16S ribosomal RNA". It matches the Rfam family "Bacterial small subunit ribosomal RNA", at positions 524 to 776 of the family's 1533-position model. The record is from RNAcentral.